ACUCAAUCAUGUGCAGAGGGCAACAGCCGGUUGUGCGUCUCUGUCAGAGACUACUACUGUUACAUGCCGCAGACACGGCCUGCGAUCUAUAAUCCCAUACUUUGCGGAGCACGCCUCUUGCAGCAAUGGGCCGUCGACAUGUACGUCAAGAUUGAAAGUUGUCGGUUGAGGUGGUACAGGGAGAACCAGACGCAGAUUCGUGCCGACUUGUAUAAAGGAGUUGUUGAUGCGAUCACAUCGGGGGAGACACGAGCAAGCGCUGUUGGGGUAAGAAUAGUUCUUCCUGGAACAUACCCUGGUGGCGACCGCGACAUGAAGAAGAGGCAUAUGGAUGCCAUGGCAAUUGUCCAUACAUACGGGAAGCCAGACAUCUUCUUGACCAUGACUUGCAAUCCUAAAUGGGAAGAGAUAACGAAUGAGUUGCUGCCUAGUUAG
RNAcentral lists this ribosomal RNA (435 nucleotides) under Triticum aestivum (bread wheat). RNAcentral's name for it is "partial small subunit ribosomal RNA". The record is from RNAcentral. Lineage: Eukaryota; Viridiplantae; Streptophyta; Magnoliopsida; Poales; Poaceae.